CGAGCGUGGUGGAACUGGUAGACACGCAAGCUUGAGGUGCUUGUGGGAGCAAUCCUGUGGGGGUUCAAGUCCCCCCUCGA
This 80-nucleotide transfer RNA is filed under the name Leptospiraceae bacterium. RNAcentral's name for it is "tRNA-Leu". The stretch from base 6 to 76 matches the Rfam family "tRNA", at positions 7 to 64 of the family's 71-position model. From Rfam's summary of the family: Transfer RNA (tRNA) molecules are approximately 80 nucleotides in length. Lineage: Bacteria; Pseudomonadati; Spirochaetota; Leptospiria; Leptospirales; Leptospiraceae. The record is from RNAcentral.